RNAcentral lists this small RNA (554 nucleotides) under Pan troglodytes (chimpanzee). RNAcentral's name for it is "retained intron". The record is from RNAcentral. Lineage: Eukaryota; Metazoa; Chordata; Mammalia; Primates; Hominidae.
GUCGAUGCAGCUGUAGUGACAAUCUCAGAGCAGCUUCUACACCACAGCCAUUUCCAGCAUGAAGAUCACUGGGGGUCUCCUUCUGCUCUGUACAGUGGUCUAUUUCUGUAGCAGCUCAGAAGCUGCUAGUCUGUCUCCAAAAAAAGUGGAUUGCAGCAUUUACAAGAAGUAUCCAGUGGUGGCCAUUCCCUGCCCCAUCACAUACCUGCCAGUUUGUGGUUCUGACUACAUCACCUAUGGGAAUGAAUGUCACUUGUGUACCGAGAGCUUGUGAGUACCUCAUAAGAAGAAAAUGAGAUCUGGAGUCAGUGCUCUCUACUACAAACGCUUCUACUUUCCAGGAUCCAGCUUAAAUCUCUAUAAGCUGUAAUUUAUAAUUAUUCCCACCCAGAACAGCAGGUGGGGAUAGAAAACUGACUGUUGCACAAUCAGACAGGGUAGAGUCACCUGCUCUGCCAGCUUGGACUAGUCCCAUCCCAUCACAGAACCUCCAGUUCCUGUCUGUCAAUUGUGAGAAUCCAGUAAGACUGUGGAUUCUCAAACUGCUGUCCCCA